This 685-nucleotide ribosomal RNA is filed under the name uncultured bacterium. RNAcentral describes it as "bacterial SSU rRNA". It matches the Rfam family "Bacterial small subunit ribosomal RNA", at positions 1 to 684 of the family's 1533-position model. The record is from RNAcentral.
CCCUUAGAGUUUGAUCCUGGCUCAGAUUGAACGCUGGCGGCGUGCUAAACACAUGCAAGUCGAGCGGCAGCGGGCCCGCAAGGGUGCCGGCGAGCGGCGGACGGGUGAGCAAUACAUAGGAAUCUGCCUCAGAGCGGGGGAUAGCCAGGGGAAACCCUGAUUAAUACCGCAUGACGUCGAGAGACCAAAGUGGGGGAUCGUAAGACCUCACACUCUGAGAUGAGCCUAUGUCGGAUUAGCUAGUUGGCGGGGUAACGGCCCACCAAGGCGACGAUCCGUAGCUGGUCUGAGAGGACGAUCAGCCACACCGGAACUGAGACACGGUCCGGACUCCUACGGGAGGCAGCAGUGGGGAAUAUUGGACAAUGGGCGAAAGCCUGAUCCAGCGACGCCGCGUGGGUGAAGAAGGCCUUCGGGUUGUAAAGCCCUUUAAGCCGGGACGAAAAAGCUGCACCUAACACGUGCGGCCUUGACGGUACCGGAAGAAUAAGCACCGGCUAACUCUGUGCCAGCAGCCGCGGUAAUACAGAGGGUGCGAGCGUUAAUCGGAUUUACUGGGCGUAAAGCGUGUGUAGGUGGCUUCCUAAGUCGGUUGUGAAAUCCCUGGGCUCAACCUGGGAAUUGCAGUCGAUACUGGGAAGCUCGAGUUCGGUAGAGGACGGCGGAAUUCCCGGUGUAGCGGUGA